RNAcentral lists this ribosomal RNA (497 nucleotides) under uncultured bacterium. Its description in RNAcentral is "partial 16S ribosomal RNA". It matches the Rfam family "Bacterial small subunit ribosomal RNA", at positions 28 to 507 of the family's 1533-position model. The record is from RNAcentral.
GAUGAACGCUGGCGGCGUGCCUAAUACAUGCAAGUCGAGCGAACAGAUGAGGAGCUUGCUCCUCUGACGUUAGCGGCGGACGGGUGAGUAACACGUGGAUAACCUACCUAUAAGACUGGGAUAACUUCGGGAAACCGGAGCUAAUACCGGAUAAUAUAUUGAACCGCAUGGUUCAAUAGUGAAGGACGGUUUUGCUGUCACUUAUAGAUGGAUCCGCGCCGCAUUAGCUAGUUGGUAAGGUAACGGCUUACCAAGGCAACGAUGCGUAGCCGACCUGAGAGGGUGAUCGGCCACACUGGAACUGAGACACGGUCCAGACUCCUACGGGAGGCAGCAGUAGGGAAUCUUCCGCAAUGGGCGAAAGCCUGACGGAGCAACGCCGCGUGAGUGAUGAAGGUCUUCGGAUCGUAAAACUCUGUUAUUAGGGAAGAACAAAUGUGUAAGUAACUAUGCACGUCUUGACGGUACCUAAUCAGAAAGCCACGGCUAACUACGGG